UGCUGGAACGGAUCUGGAGACGAUUCGGCCGAAUGAAACUGUGAUGAGCAGAAGAUGGUUUCUGCUUUCCGUGGUUUCGGCUCCGGAGGCUUCCUGUGGAGGAACGCGUCGCGUCUUGAGCAGGAAUGUUUGACUGAAGCCUGGAGCAACUCAUGUUUCUGCACAGGGUCAGAGGUCAAAGGCUACAAACCACCACUCUUCCCCUCAGAUGAAAAAGAAAUCUGUCACCUCAGUACAACAUCACAUCCGUCGCUGCAAAAACAUCUGGAACAGGACCAUAACGGGUCUCAACCACACCGCUGAACAGAACCGACACUUCGCUGACCGCAAAAGAUCCCCUGCUCCACAGUAUUCAGCAGGACAAAAGGUUUGGCUUUCAGCACGAGAUAUCCCACUCAAAUAUAUGUCCAGAAAACUCUCCCCCAGAUUCAUCUGUCCUUAUGAAGUUUAAAGAGUCAUCAGUCCCUCAGCUGUCCGCCUCCUCCUCCCAUCAUCUCUCCCAUCACCUCUCCAAUGCCAGGAGUUCCUGGCUUUCUGGAUUUUCCUCCCCGUGACGCCGUGGAUUAUUACCCACUAGUUGCCCGAGUUCCCUCCUCACCUUCAGCAGAUGAAUUGUCUUCAGUUCCUGGAUUCCCAGCUGGCAGUCGGAUCGCUCUUCUGAUCUCCUCACCUGAACUUUCCUGUCCGGCCUCCACUUCAGCCCUCACCAUCCACCUCCAAUGAACCCUCUGUCUGAACCAGCCAUCGGAAUCUGAAACACGUCAAGAACCCCUAAUACAGACCAAUGCCCCGGUGGCCACUGUACUUCACCUGGCGGAGAAACUUACCAGCCCAAGUAAGACUAAUCCAUUCUUGUCUGAAGAUCCACUGUCCGAUCUACCUUGAACUCACCGUGUCUCUCUCACCGCUCUCCAGAGUACGGACGACCCUGGCCUCACAUGCUAGCUCAGUUUGCCCUGUUCAGCUAGCAGAGAAACGCUGCUCCACGCAACUGGCAGCUCUGCCAGUUUUUCUCUGAGACCAAUAAUUAAAUAUCCAUUUUAUUUAAUGUUUUUGGUUAAUUUGUUCAGUUCUCUUAGGGAUUCAAAAUGUCUUCUUGAGUCAGUGCUAAUUGCAGCAACAGGAGUCCCUGGUUGCUCCAUCUUAGCUGCGCCUUCUGCAGUGGAGGACAUGUGAGGACAUCAUGUCUCCUCCAUGAGAUGGUGCAGAACACGCUGCUUAUUUCUGCGAGGCUGAGUUUGGUUCUGGUGAGAUUUGGGUUCCUCUGCAGAUCCAGAGAGGCUCAGCACGACCGGCUGAUGAGAUCCAGAUGUUGGAGUCGGAUCAAACACGCCAAACUGCGAUUGAUCCCCAGCAGCGACACAACGCAACAUCCAGCUAAAAGAACCAGAUCCAAGAUCCAGAACCCAGAUCCAAGUCACUGGACUGUCAGUAACCAGCUGCUGGUGGUUCUGGAGGUUCAGGUGACCUUUGACUCUGUGGACCUCGCUGUGGUUUCGUGGAUUCUGUGGUUCGGCCUUCAAACGGUUGCUGCCUCUCUUCUGAGCGGGGUGCCGCAGGGCUGCGCUUUAGCGCUCUUGGUUUUGUCCUUGUUGUCUCUGGGAUUUAUUGCAAACCGCCGAAACAUUAAAUUGACUUGUUAUGCAGAUGAUGUGAUAUUUAUUCACCAGGCAGAACUUUCUGUUCCCGAACGACCAGCAAGCAGAACGGAUCCCACAUGGAGACAAAGAUCCUGCUGGCCUGGGAAAUUUCACCACAACUGAAAAACCCAAAAUCACGUCUGACAAAACAACUUGACAAACAAAUCUCUGUUGUUCUCCAGAUUUCCUUAUUUUCACCUGUUGAACCAGGUCAGGCUGUUUUUAUCCAGCUGACCAACUCCAGGACUUCACCACCACCACCUGCCAUUCUCCCGUUUUGGUCGGGAAACUACCGAACUCUACUCCGUUCCCACCCGGGCCCGUAUUGGUAUCUUCCUGUAAACAUCCCAUAUUAUGGUAAUGAUGGGGCCCCAACCUGGCAACACUUCUGGUUUUACCUAGUUUGCUCUGCAUUGCUUUGCUGCUUCUGCUCUUUUACCUGUUGCUGUGUUGGGUUUUGACCCUGAAGCAGUUUGGUCUCCACUGUGGUCACUGCAGACAUGGAUGUUGGUUGGCUGAUGGAUUGAUGGGGACGACUUGGUGUCAGUGAUCUUCCUCCAGAACAUGGUGGAAACUUGGACCUGCUCCUUCAGCGGCUGUGAAACAGUCAGCAGGUUGCUGUGCAAAGCUGCAGCAUCCAUCAUGACUCCAGGUCCUCCAGCUUCACGCCACAUCGAGCUGCAGAGAGCAGCCAGAGGACGCACAGCUGCUAACACUCAACCCCCUACUUCCAGGGAAGAAACCGACCCGGCAGAUCCGACCUGAACCUGAACCACCCAACCCCCCAGCAGCAGGAGGGCCGAACGAGGAAAUAACCCCCAUUGUUCUGGGUCUCCAGGGGACGAAAGCUGCAGGCACCGAGUUUAACUUUCUCUGCAGCAACAAAACGACCGAAAAAAAUACCCCACAGAGAUUUAAUGACCCCCCACUCCGUUUACCCCCCCUCUCUGU
Poecilia reticulata (guppy) is the source of this 2591-nucleotide non-coding RNA. The record is from RefSeq and is a predicted model, not a curated record. NCBI's taxonomy places the organism in Eukaryota, Metazoa, Chordata, Actinopteri, Cyprinodontiformes, Poeciliidae.